RNAcentral lists this ribosomal RNA (497 nucleotides) under uncultured bacterium. Its description in RNAcentral is "partial 16S ribosomal RNA". It matches the Rfam family "Bacterial small subunit ribosomal RNA", at positions 28 to 507 of the family's 1533-position model. The record is from RNAcentral.
GAUGAACGCUGGCGGCGUGCCUAAUACAUGCAAGUCGAGCGAACGGACGAGAAGCUUGCUUCUCUGAUGUUAGCGGCGGACGGGUGAGUAACACGUGGAUAACCUACCUAUAAGACUGGGAUAACUUCGGGAAACCGGAGCUAAUACCGGAUGAUAUUUUGAACCGCAUGGUUCAAAAGUGAAAGACGGUCUUGCUGUCACUUAUAGAUGGAUCCUCGCUGCAUUAGCUAGUUGGUAAGGUAACGGCUUACCAAGGCAACAGUGCAUAGCGGACCUGAAAGGGUUAACGGCCACACUGGACAGGGAACACGCUCCAAACACCUACGGAAGCCGCCGGUAGGGAAUCUACCGCAAUGGGCAAAGGCCUACCGGAGCAACGCCGCGUGAGUAAUGAAGGUCUUCGGCUGGUAAAACUCUGUGGUUGAGGAAAAACAUAGUUAUAGGUAACUGUGCACAUCUUGACGGUACCUAAUCAGAAAGCCACGGCUAACUACGUG